AUUGAACGCUGGCGGCAUGCCUUACACAUGCAAGUCGAACGGCAGCGGGGACUUCGGUCCGCCGGCGAGUGGCGAACGGGUGAGUAAUGCAUCGGAACGUACCCGGAAGUGGGGGAUAACGUAGCGAAAGUUACGCUAAUACCGCAUAUUCUGUGAGCAGGAAAGAGGGGGAUCUUCGGACCUCUUGCUUUCGGAGCGGCCGAUGUCAGAUUAGCUAGUUGGUAAGGUAAAGGCUCACCAAGGCGACGAUCUGUAGCGGGUCUGAGAGGAUGAUCGGCCAAGCUGGAACUGAGACACGGUCCAGACUCCUACGGGAGGCAGCAGUGGGGAAUUUUGGACAAUGGGCGCAAGCCUGAUCCAGCCAUGCCGCGUGAGUGAAGAAGGCCUUCGGGUUGUAAAGCUCUUUCGGCCGGGAAGAAAUCGCAUGGAUUAAUACUCUGUGCGGAUGACGGUACCGGCAUAAGAAGCACCGGCUAACUACGUGCCAGCAGCCGCCGUAA
RNAcentral lists this ribosomal RNA (500 nucleotides) under uncultured bacterium. RNAcentral's name for it is "partial 16S ribosomal RNA". It matches the Rfam family "Bacterial small subunit ribosomal RNA", at positions 30 to 523 of the family's 1533-position model. The record is from RNAcentral.